Nicotiana tabacum (common tobacco) is the source of this 2476-nucleotide non-coding RNA. The record is from RefSeq and is a predicted model, not a curated record. NCBI's taxonomy places the organism in Eukaryota, Viridiplantae, Streptophyta, Magnoliopsida, Solanales, Solanaceae.
GUUAGUUGGGAGAUUAAACUAUCUCACUAUGACUCGUCCAGAUAUUGCUUUUGCAGUAAGUAUGGUUGGCCAAUUCAUGUCCGCGCCCACAAUCAAACAUUGGGAGGCUUUGGAGCAGAUCCUAUGUUACUUAAAAGGAGCUCCUGGACUUGGCAUAUUAUAUAGCAACCACGGGCAUUCCUGCAUUGAUUGUUUUGCAGAUGCAGAUUGGGCUGGAUCCAAGAUUGACAGAAGAUCUACUACUGGCUACUGUGUAUUUGUUGGUGGAAACUUGAUAUCAUGGAGAAGUAAGUAACAGAAUGUUGUAUCUCGGUCCAGUGCAGAAUCAGAGUAUAGAGCUAUGGCACAAUCAACAUGUGAGAUAAUGUGGAUAUACCAUCUUUUAACUGAAAUGGGGUUGAAGCAUCCUACUCCAUCAAAGCUCUGGUGUGACAAUCAAGCUGCGCUCCAUAUUGCCUCAAAUCCAGUGUAUCAUGAAAGAAUCAAGCAUAUUGAAGUUGACUGUCAUUUUAUUCGUGAGAAAAUUCAAGAGAACUUGAUUUCCACUGCCUACGUGAAGACAAGAGAGCAACUAGCUGAUUUGUUCACUAAAGCAUUGAAUGGUACUCGAAUUAGUUACCUUCGUAACAAGCUGGGCAUGAUCAACAUAUAUGCUCCAGCUUGAGGGGGAGUAUUAUAGAAUGAAUCUAGACACUUAUUAUAGGAUGAAUCUAGACACUUAUUAUAGAAUGAAUGUAGACUCUUUCUUGUACAUAAAUAGCAGAUUUGUAGGAAUCUCUUUUAUUUCUUUCCUUGGUUAGCAUCUGAUGUACAUGAAUUUAUAUUGCUCACCUCUUGGAAUGAUAACACAAGUUAUUCUUUCUAUUUUGUUCACAAUACUCAUAUGGCGGUGCAGUGCUUUUAUGACGUGGACCUUUUAAGUAGGAAAUGCUCCUUGAUAGUAAGUUUCAGUUGCAAAAAUUGUUCUUUCCAACUGUAGAUGGUUAUGUCUCUUGAGCUAGAUAUAGGCAGCAAAAAUUGUGUAGGAAAUGCUCCUCGAUAGUAAGUUUCAGUUGCAAAAAUUGUUCUUUCCAACUGUAGAUGGUUGUCUCUUGAACUAGAUAUAGGCUGCAAGAUUAGUAUGGUUAUGAAUAACAGUUUGCAAAAAAUUGCGAGACAUAUGAUGUGAAAUUUUUUGUCUCAGGUCAUGAAAAUAGUUAAAACCUUAUUUUGAGAUUCUUUAUCAAGAGUCGGGACUACUGAUGUUGGAGCUAGCAGAAGUAAUCCUCGCUCUCUCUCUUCAACACGUACAUAGUGCAGGAUCAUCGUUAAAACUGAAAGCUCCAACCAGAGAAAUGGAGCAGCCGUCCAUUGCUCUGAUAUUUAUAUAGUCAGUGAUGGUAUAUAUUUGGGAACCAUGGUCUUGUCUCUCUAUCUAUUAUGUAUAAACCAGAUAAAUUUGCAAGCAUUUAUUAGCAUUUCACAUAUUUCUUGUGUCUGGCCAUACUCCAUAGGUUAUAUGGAACCUGAUGUACAUAUGCGAGUUUACAUAGAAUGGGAUAGACCUGCCCAAUUUUGACUGGAGUCGCUGAAUGAUUGUUAUUUAUCACUGUCGUACUUGCAACAGGUGUCGUACUGUUGACCUGAACCUUUCACUGACUUUUGUAGUUUGUAUGGUCCAUCAAAGUGGGAGAUUGUACAGAAAUAGUGUGUAUCUAUGUCUCAAUGAGUAUUUUCGUGUUUCAUUGCUGCAGAAAUCAAUAAAUACAGUCCCUUUGUUCGACAUUUUGUUCUUUUUCCCUGCCGCUGAUCUAUGCUAAUUUGAGAAUUGCAAUAUUCAGUCAGGCAUGUCCAUUGUCAUCCAUGUCAAAAUAAAUUUUAUAUACCAUAGCCUGUAUAAGCAGCACAUAAAGCAUCUCUAAUUUCUCAAUGAUUUUUGUGGGCAUUGAUUUUUCUGUUUCCUGCGUGAAGGUACUCAAUUACCAAGGCUUUCGGCGUUGCCUUCGUGUUAACAUUCUUCAGUGCAUUUGAUGUGCCUGUCUUUUGGCCAAUUCUCCUUUUCUAUUGGAUCGUGCUGUUCACACUUACAAUGAGAAGACAAAUACGACACAUGAUAAAAUAUAAAUAUGUGCCGUUCUCUUUUGGGAAGCAGCGGUAUGAUGUGAAGACAGCAGUUUCAUCAGAAAGUGAAAAUCUUCUCCCUUAGACUGAAACAUACAGGUCCUCAGCAGCUGCUUAUUCUAUGGAAUGCAUCAUGCAGCUGCCGGUUAUCUUUCUUUUCUGCUUCAAUAGCCAAAGAUUUUCUAGGAUAUUUACUGGAAGUGGAAGAAACUGUUAGGGAAUUAGCGUCGAGGCGACGGUCGUUGCUUUGCUUCUGGGCAUUGUUCCUAUGUAUUGAAAUCUUAAAUUUCCAUGUGUGUAGCUUUCUGCAAAUUAUGCUUUACAAGGACCAAUGUCAUACAGUACCUUUGCUCAAUGCUUUUUUUAGUUGUGUGCA